AACGAACGCUGGCGGCAUGCCUAACACAUGCAAGUCGAACGAGACCUUCGGGUCUAGUGGCGCACGGGUGCGUAACGCGUGGGAACCUGCCCUUAGGUUCGGAAUACCUCCCCGAAAGGGGUGCUAAUACCGGAUAAUGUCUUCGGACCAAAGAUUUAUCGCCUUUGGAUGGGCCCGCGUUGGAUUGGCUAGUUGGUAGGGGAAAAGCCUACCAAGGCGACGAUCCAUAGCUGGUCUGAGAGGAUGAUCAGCCACACUGGGACUGAGACACGGCCCAGACUCGUACGGGAGGGAGCAGUGGGGAAUAUUGGACAAGGGGCGAAAGCCUGAUACAGCAAUGCCGCGUGAGUGAUGAAGGCCUUAGGGUUGUAAAGCUCUUUUACCCGGGAUGAUAAUGACAGUACCGGGAGAAUAAGCUCCGGCUAACUCCGUG
This 433-nucleotide ribosomal RNA is filed under the name uncultured bacterium. Its description in RNAcentral is "partial 16S ribosomal RNA". It matches the Rfam family "Bacterial small subunit ribosomal RNA", at positions 29 to 507 of the family's 1533-position model. The record is from RNAcentral.